Molecule: ribosomal RNA, 274 nt
Filed under: uncultured bacterium
Lineage: Bacteria
Description: partial 16S ribosomal RNA
Rfam family: Bacterial small subunit ribosomal RNA
Source: RNAcentral
AUACGAAGGGGGCUAGCGUUGUUCGGAAUUACUGGGCGUAAAGCGCACGUAGGCGGAUAUUUAAGUCAGGGGUGAAAUCCCAGAGCUCAACUCUGGAACUGCCUUUGAUACUGGGUAUCUUGAGUAUGGAAGAGGUAAGUGGAAUUCCGAGUGUAGAGGUUAAAUUCGUAUAUAUUCGGAGGAACACCAGUGGCGAAGGCGGCUUACUGGUCCAUUACUGACGCUGAGGUGCGAAAGCGUGGGGAGCAAACAGGAUUAGAAACCCCAGUAGUCC